GACGAACGCUGGCGGCGUGCCUAAUACAUGCAAGUUGAGCGAUGAAGAUUGGUGCUUGCACCAAUUUGAAGAGCAGCGAGCGGGUGAGUAACGCGUGGGGAAUCUGCCUUUGAGCGGGGGACAACAUUUGGAAACGAAUGCUAAUACCGCAUAACAACUUUAAACAUAAGUUUUAAGUUUGAAAGAUGCAAUUGCAUCACUCAAAGAUGAUCCCGCGUUGUAUUAGCUAGUUGGUGAGGUAAAGGCUCACCAAGGCGAUGAUACAUAGCCGACCUGAGAGGGUGAUCGGCCACAUUGGGACUGAGACACGGCCCAAACUCCUACGGGAGGCAGCAGUAGGGAAUCUUCGGCAAUGGACGAAAGUCUGACCGUGCAACGCCGCGUGAGUGAAGAAGGUUUUCGGAUCGUAAAACUCUGUUGGUAGAGAAGAACGUUGGUGAGAGUGGAAAGCUCAUCAAGUGACGGUAACUACCCAGAAAGGGACGGCUAACUACGUG
Molecule: ribosomal RNA, 497 nt
Filed under: uncultured bacterium
Lineage: Bacteria
Description: partial 16S ribosomal RNA
Rfam family: Bacterial small subunit ribosomal RNA
Source: RNAcentral